ACAGAGGCCUCGAGCGUUAGGCGGAAUCACUGGGCUUAAAGCGUGUGUAGGCGGAUCGUUAAGUGCCUUGUGAAAUCCCUCGGCUUAACCGGGGAACUGCGUCCGAUACUGGAUGGCUUGAGUUCGGGAGAGGGAUGCGGAAUUCCAGGUGUAGCGGUGAAAUGCGUAGAUAUCUGGAGGAACACCGGUGGCGAAGGCGGCAUCCUGGACCGACACUGACGCUGAGGAGCGAAAGCUAGGGGAGCAAACAGGA
This 253-nucleotide ribosomal RNA is filed under the name uncultured prokaryote. Its description in RNAcentral is "partial 16S ribosomal RNA". It matches the Rfam family "Bacterial small subunit ribosomal RNA", at positions 525 to 777 of the family's 1533-position model. The record is from RNAcentral.